UGGUGGAGUGAUUUGUCUGGUUAAUUCCGUUAACGAACGAGACCUCCGCGUGCUAAAUAGUUCUAUCUACAAUUUGUAGAUAUGAACUUCUUAGAGGGACUUUUGGUGACUAACCAAAGGAAGUUGGAGGCAAUAACA
This 138-nucleotide ribosomal RNA is filed under the name uncultured eukaryote. RNAcentral describes it as "partial 18S ribosomal RNA". It matches the Rfam family "Eukaryotic small subunit ribosomal RNA", at positions 1299 to 1458 of the family's 1831-position model. The record is from RNAcentral.